GUUGUGGCUCAGUGGUAUAGAGCUUGCCUAGCAUGUGUGAGGCACUGGGUUCAAUUCUCAGCAUCACA
RNAcentral lists this transfer RNA (68 nucleotides) under Marmota monax (woodchuck). Its description in RNAcentral is "tRNA.Ala". The record is from RNAcentral. Lineage: Eukaryota; Metazoa; Chordata; Mammalia; Rodentia; Sciuridae.